AAGGAAUUAGUUUAACUUAAAACAUUAGAUUGUCAAACUAAAAAUAUUAUAUAAUAUUCCUUA
This 63-nucleotide transfer RNA is filed under the name Inara alboguttata. RNAcentral describes it as "tRNA-Asp". It matches the Rfam family "tRNA". Rfam says of the family: Transfer RNA (tRNA) molecules are approximately 80 nucleotides in length. The record is from RNAcentral. Lineage: Eukaryota; Metazoa; Arthropoda; Insecta; Hemiptera; Reduviidae.